GGGUACAAAACGAGGUUUAAGGGGACUCAUAAUCCCUUGGUCCACGGUUCGAGUCCGUGCGGGCCCACCA
This 70-nucleotide transfer RNA is filed under the name Acidithiobacillus ferrivorans SS3. Its description in RNAcentral is "tRNA-Ser (CGA) (tRNA-Ser-CGA-2-1)". Lineage: Bacteria; Pseudomonadati; Pseudomonadota; Acidithiobacillia; Acidithiobacillales; Acidithiobacillaceae. The record is from RNAcentral. RNAcentral also lists the same sequence under 1 other name.